UUCUAUUAUUUACCUUUCAUUCUGUUCUUCCUUCCUCUCUCGUUCUCGUCUCUAAAUCUCUGCUUCUCUCUCGUUCUCUUCCCCCUUACUACUAUCAGAAACAUCGUUAUCAUCAACUUCAUAAAUCCCUAAAUCCUUUUCCCUAUUUUCUUUCAAAACCCUAGAAAUCUCUUUCUGUUUGAAGAUCCACCAAACCCAAAACCUAAUGGUCGUCGUUCAAAAAGAAGAAGAUAGAAAACAUCUUGGAACUAGGGGUCAAUACAAAGGGGUUUGUUUGUUUAUUUGAUAUAUGUUGAUUGUGUAAAUGAAAUUUCAAUAAAUAGGUCAAGAUAAGAUUAGGGUUUUGAAGUUCUAAUUGAAUUUGAUUUGUUAAAGGCAGAGAUGGGGUUCUAGGUCUGCUGUAAAGAGCUGGAUAUCACUCUGCUUGGUACAGGAACUUGCAGGCUAAAUGAUUGCAGGGAAUGAGCUAUGUAAGAUUACAAACAAGCAGCAAACUGAUUGAUCCUUCACUACAAACAACAUUGACAUUUGAGGGGUAAUCGCUAUUACAGUCGAAGAUGAUAUUGUAAAAUUUUCUGAUUACAAAGCUUCGUCAACGGCAUCCAGUGGAGGGGCGAAAAUUUCACCUGAACCUUCUCCACCAAAAAAGAGGCGGAGCCCGUGAGCUCGCCUGAGCUAACAAUUUCAGUGGCUGCUGAACCUCCUCAAUCAGAAGGUCACAGUUUUGCUAUCUCUCUUGCAAAAAAACUGGCUGAAGACUGAAGAGAACAACGUUAGUCUUUCUUUUCAAUUGUUACAACAAAACUCUUAUUACUCAAUAUCAAACAAACUCAUUAUGGGUUUCUCGUGUCCUGAGCAUUUGGCAUAUUUCCUUGCUUUCUUAUGCAACCACUUUUGUUGGAAUAUUGACGCUUUCUAUUUAUUUGAAUGUACUUCACAAUAGGUGCCUAUUCAAGUGUUAAAGGCACAGGUCUUGAUGGCAGUAUUGUGAAGGAUGAUAUUGAUGACUACUUGGGUAUAGUUUUUUCAAUGUUGUUUCCUGUGUAUUGGUCAUUUUCUUGGUAGGGUUCCUUUUGAGUAUCAAUGAAUACAUUUCACCUAAUGAUGUAGCUAGCAAGGCAUCAGCCCCCAAGGAUAAAGCCACAACACAGGCAUCUAAUUUGGAUCACACCGAACUUCCACACACUCAAAUAACAAAAGUAAAGUUUUUCUUUUGUAUGCCUAAACGUUAAGUGGGACAGAGUUGUAGCUGAUAUAUCUACUUUUGCAGAUCACAGCUUCACAUCUGCUACAAUCAAAACAAACUAUUCCUCAUUAUUAUUUGACUGUUGAUUCUUGUGUCGACAAACUAAUAGAGUGAGUAUCAGUUGUGAAAAACAAAGUUUUAUGUUUCUUCUGUUCUUGUGAUGUGGGUCCUCCUUAGGUAUGGUUAUUUUUCUGAAAGAUUGAGAAGCCAACUUAAUUCCGUCCAAGAAGAUUCUGGUGGGAAACAGAUCUCAGUUAAUGAUCUUGUAGUGAAGGCUGCUGCUUUGGCUCUUCGCAAAGUUCCUCAAUGUAACAGUUCCUGUACAAAUGAUUAUAUCUGCCAGUACAAAACCAUCGUCUGAUGGAUCUGGGAGGAGAAUAAGAGAAGUUGCAUGUCCUACUUGCACCGUCCAUUUGCGGUGCUCGACGAUGAAUGAAGAAGAAAUUUUCGAGUUUCAAGACAAACUCUUCCUUUUCCCCCUUGGGUGGAUUCAUGCACAUCCUUCACAGACUUGCUUUAUAUCUUCAGUUGAUCUUCAUACACAUUAUUCAUACCAGAUUUUGAGCAGCUUCAUUGGGCGUGCGACAUCUAACACACUGCUCUUGCUGGUUCCUCCAGUUGAAAUGCCUCACAACCCAUGGUGACAAUUUAAACUUCAAGCACCGGGCAUACCUCAUGCGGCAGAGAAUGUUCACCUGGUUAGCCGGUUCCAGCAGACGAAUGUGAGAGUUCUUAUUUCUUUAGAUCAUUUUGUAAGAACCUUAGUGUGAUACUGAAUGUUUAUAAAUAUAUCCACGUGAUAUGAUUUUUGUGAUGUGCUUCAUACUUUUUGGUGUAUAUGGACUGCAUCAU
This is an RNA transcript of Papaver somniferum (opium poppy), 2098 nucleotides long. RefSeq lists it as uncharacterized. The transcript is spliced from 8 exons. NCBI's taxonomy places the organism in Eukaryota, Viridiplantae, Streptophyta, Magnoliopsida, Ranunculales, Papaveraceae. The record is from RefSeq and is a predicted model, not a curated record.